This is a long non-coding RNA of Mesocricetus auratus (golden hamster), 2185 nucleotides long. RefSeq lists it as uncharacterized. The record is from RefSeq and is a predicted model, not a curated record. NCBI's taxonomy places the organism in Eukaryota, Metazoa, Chordata, Mammalia, Rodentia, Cricetidae. The transcript is spliced from 2 exons.
ACUCUUGCCACUUGGGCUGCACGCAGGGUCACACCUCCCACCCACGCGUGACUGUCCAGAAUCUUAAAUCUCAAGACUGGGGCUCUAAGACCUGUGGUGUGCAGAAAGACAGAACGUGUCUGGCUUCCGCCUUGCAUUGUGACCCUCUGAAGACAGAAAGAGCCUCGAACAUAGGAAGGCAACUAAAAGACCCAUCCAACGAACGAGCCGUCUGCAGUGGCUACAAGAUGGGGAGUCCUACAGCCCCACUUACUAAGAGCACCCCCCCACUCAGACUCUCGAAUUUAAAAGUGCCUUUUAAAUUCUGUAUCGAAGGCACUUCCGUUAAUAUAGCAGGAGUUACAUUUUAACUUAUUGUCAGGUGCAUUUAUCUUCAGCAAUGGCCACUUGUAGAAAUGCAUAUGGGAGUCUGAACUGUGGGUGCCAACUCUCGGAGUGCAAAAAGUUUUCUUUGGUUCGUGUUGCCUUUAAUCUGUAUUUUUCUAAUUAACAAAUCCAAAAUAUAGUACAGUCAUAAAGACAAAAAACACGAAACAAAACUCUAGCAACAUUUUCCUCAGAAGCAACAGCGGCAGAGGCGGAGUGAGCAAUGGGCCACAGAACUAUCUAAGAAUCACAAUCACUGACAUGUGGGCCAUGAUCAAGGUCCUUCCACCCCACAAAGGAAUGAAAGGCAUUUCAAGACGUUCAGAGUGUCUACGCCUGGAACCAGAAAAGCAGUCCUGGCACGGACUGUGAUGGAAACUGGAACCCAGGCUUGCUGACGAGGUCAGGAGACAGAGUUGCUUGCCAUGAGAAGAAAGUCCUCUCUGUGUUCAAGCCCCCGCACUAGGGCAGCUGCCCAUGCCCUAGAAGGUGCUGUGGUGGUCCACUGUCAGUUAACUGCCUCACAUGAGUGUUGUGACACAUGAAAACUCCCAGCCAGUGUCUUCUGAGGUUCUCUGAUGAGUGGCUGUUCCUGCCUCAAGAAUGUCUUUGAUUUUUCUAAAGACGAAGAAGGAUGGAGCCCACGACUUUCCUUCAGUCGUCAUAAAACACCAGACGAAAAUACUCAUGUCUCCCAUAUGACUGCCCCUUCCUGCCUGAGCCCUGCGCCGUGCACACUCGCAUAGACAAGGAAGCUCCGUCCUUCAGCUCUGAGAUCACAGAGUGGGCUCCGGGGAAACUUAACAUUGCUCCAGGGAAGGCAGCAUUACCACCAUCCACGUCAAAGGCACAGCUGACUAAUCAGAUGGGCUGCACUUCCUUUAUGCCAGCAUUGAGCAUCUGAGAGAACCUGACAAACACAGGGAGCAUCUCCGGAGCUUGAUAGUGCCAUCAAAUAGUUAUUAGAACAAAACAAAAACAAACAGUAGCGGUGCCUAUCCCUUUUACACAUCUUUUACAACGGUGAAUAUAUAUUCCCUCAGAAAGAAUCAAGUAUAAGCUCGCUCGUGUGCUCUCUCUCUCUCUCUCUCCCUCUCUCUCUCUCUCUCUCUCUGGCUCAUAGAUUUCCUCUGGGGUUGUGUCCACAGAAAAAUGUCACCCUUUUCUGGUGCACUGCAGGGCCCCUGACCACAGCAAGAUACACUCCGCUGCUACGUACCCUCUACAGCCUGGCGUUAGUAUCAUUGGUCCACUGAAAAAGUUCUUAUCAGUGUGCCCAACCUUGAACACCCUUGGUUUCUCAUGCCUAACCUCCAAAGCUAGGAGAAGGCAAGCUGGGAAGCCAGGAGCAGCCCAUCUUGGGACUCCUGAGCGAGAAGAGGCCCAGUCUGCUCCAAGCAUCUAUAUCUGCCUAACCUACUUCCUGGGUAAGGGAGCCAGGAAGAGGCCCUUUGGGGUCUUUAAGUCAUUUGCUAAGGGAUGCCAUGUAGUGCCGUCCUCACAGGGUGGAGGGUGAAACUCCUGCUCACAGAUACUGGGGUGCUGUCAAGAAGGGAGAUGUCAUUCAUUCCCCAACCAUAAAGCAGCAUGUGUUAUUUGCUGUGGCUUGUAACACGAAUAAUAAAAACCCAGAGACAGAUAUUAGGGUUCAAGCUGAAGACCAGAGAAGCAAAGCAGCCAGCCACUAUCUCUUACCUCUACCAAGGCUGAAAUGGAGAUCCCGUCUUCCCUGUAACUGAAAACUAAAUGCCACAUGAGACCCCUUGCUUCUUCCUAUAUACCUCUCUGGUGCUGAGAUUAAAAGCAUGAAUUCUGUUAU